Long non-coding RNA from Chroicocephalus ridibundus (black-headed gull), 4380 nucleotides. RefSeq lists it as uncharacterized. NCBI's taxonomy places the organism in Eukaryota, Metazoa, Chordata, Aves, Charadriiformes, Laridae. The record is from RefSeq and is a predicted model, not a curated record. The transcript has 9 exons.
CGCGCGGGCCCGAGGCAGGAAGUGAAUCACUCCGCCGGCACCGGGGGCCGGGCGCGAGGCGGCCCCCCGUCGCUUAACUCCUUCCGCGCCGCGCUGCGCUCCGCUCCGCGCCGGGCGGGGAGGGAGGGACGGGGACGGGGGGGGACGCGGGGCACGGCUUAAAUGGGGAGCGAUUAGCGCCGGGGGAGCGCACGGCAGAGGUUAAACGGCGGCAGCCCGGCGGGACCACCCCGGCGCAGCCCGGCACGGCCCCCGCCGCCCCCGGGCCGCCGGUCCGGCUGCGCGGUGCCCGCUCCGCUCCGCUGCCCCGCCGGCAGCGGAGGCCCCGCUGCCCCGAGCCCUGCGUCUCCCGCCCGCCGCGGGCCGUGCGCCCCCGCGAUGCGAAGGAAACAACAAACCAAACCCCCUAAAAAUAAUGAUAAAAAAGCCCCAAAAGGCGCUUUCCGGCCUCCCCGCCGAUAAAUCCCGGUGGUGCCUCCUCAAAGUUUGCAAUGGGAAACACACGGGGCGCCGGCGCUGCGCAGCAGAAAUAAAAGAAGGCUUGCAGCUACCAGAAAGUCAUUAAGGCAUUAGUUUCUCUGAGAAGACAGAUCUGAAGAAAAUUCAAGAAAAUGAGAAAAUAGAUAUAAAUAAGGUGGAGCUGAAUACAAUGCCCGCAUUUGUGGUUAACUGCAAGCAAAACAUUAUGAAGAUGAUGGUAUUCAGACACAUACCCAAACAAUUGGAUUCAGACAAAUUGGAUGCAAGACUUUGACCAGCAUGCGAAGAACAGCCAGGCAUUAUGCAGACCAGCAGCACUGCGGACCUGCUGGAGGAGCUCAGCAGGAGAUCCAGCUCCACACCAAUGAUGUGUUUUGAAGAGAGGUCUGUGCUGGUCCAGCUCAUUGGAAACUUUUGUGUUCAAACCAGGAGGAUGCUAUAGAUGGAGCUAAUCUUGGACAGAUGCCCCGGCGCUAGAAAAGCAUCAUCCUAUGCAAUACCUCUUGGCAGCAUCUAAAAAAAGCCAGAGAUCUUCUAGACACAAAAGUAAGACUGGCUUCUCUUCUCAAAAGAAAUUUUGUUUAUGGCCACGCUGAAGCUCCUGGGCAAGGCUGCAUGGGGAAAGAUGCACAACCUCUGCGCCUGCUGUGCCUCGUGUGUGCACAAGGUUCUUGAAUCCCAGCGAGGAUGCACAGAGCUGAUCUCUACGUCUGUGAUAUCUGCUGCCACACACAGGAGAGGGCACUGAUGGACCCCUUGGUGUUGGAGCGGUGAAUUCGCAGCCGGGGAGGACAACAGCUUCUGCACGGUGCAGUGCAGGUUACAGACACGGGACCAAACACCUGCAGUGAACCUCCUCAGGUGAAAUUCUCCUCGGCUUCAAUCACGGUUUUUCCGGAGAAGAGACCACUGGCUGCGCUUAAGGCGAUCCACAUGUUCCUGGCUUAAGAGGCACUUAUAAUCUACUGCUAAGAGACUUAUUAGCAAUGUAAAAAUGAAUCUGAAGCAAGAAAAGUAUUCUUCCUAGAAUAAAUAUGUUUUUUGUAAAAUUAGUUUUGCUGACAGAAGUAAUUGUGCUAACUCCUUGUGACUAUGGAUGUUAUUUGUUGCCCCUUAUCUUACCGAAGCAAAGGGUGCCAAGUACUUUGAACUUUGUAAAUAACUGUUUCCAAAGUGUUGGCUUUUUUCUCUAUAAAUUCUUUAGAGAAAAGCUUGCCUCUAAUCCUUUUUCUUCCAAAGCUUUUACAGCUCAGCUUCUUCCCUCUCUACAUGUCUUUUAUUUCCCAUUUUCAGGUUUUAAUAUUUCUUAGAUAUUAUAAAAGUCUCUUUUAAGGGUAAAUAUAGACCUUUUGCUCAGAUUGGGAAAAUCAUUCCUAAAGCUUUAAUAAAUUGGAGAGAGAGAGAGGAAAAAAACCCAAAUGAACUUUAUUUCGCACUGCCACAGUUGCUGGGGCUGGGGCUUGGAGAUGAGCAUCUGAGAGCCCAAACCGUGACGCUGAUGCCCAGAACAGGGGUCCUGGCCAUCGGUCUUGCCGUUUUUUCUUGCUCCAGGCACCCAACGAGUGCAAACAGCUGGCAGAAAGGGUUGACCCUUCGUUUUUUGCUCAUGUCUUCUGGGCUGGAGAGGAGCUGGGAGCUGCUCUGCCCCCUCCAUCCCAACGCACCAGUGCUUGCUGUCCCCUCCAGCGCUGAGGAGAGGGGAACAGUUUUCCUGCAAUGACAAUUUUUCUAGGGUUUAUUUCACUUCUGCAGAUGCAGCAACAAAUAUUAACCCAGAAACAGGACAGAAAGCUUUCCCAGAGUGUGCAUUAUUAAAGCAGCGUCAGAGGCCUGCAGGAAAUCCAUGCUUAUUAUUUGCAUAAAUACAAGCAAACUCACGGAUGUGGGAAAACUGAAAUGCUGGAAACGCAAGAAGUGAUGUACUUCAUCACUCUGGGAAGUUGAACGGGAAUGUUUUUACUCAUCUGUCUAUCUGCUAUCUAUCUAUUUGCUUACUUAUUUUGGCAAAAGACACAAAUAAUGAGAAAUGUAUGUCUAACCAGAGCAGUUACUUUGCCGUGUGUUCUCGGAUGUGACAAGGAUGGGGAUGGUUUGGGCAUACAUAGAAUCAUAGAAUUGCCUAGGUUGGAAGAGACCUUUCAGAUCAUCCAGUCCAACCACCCACCUAGCUCUGACAAAAAACAUCACUAAACCAUAUCUCUAAGCACUAUGUCUACCCAUUUUUUAAAUACCGCCAGGGAUGGUACCUCAACCCCUUCCCUGGGCAGCCUGUUCCAAUGCUUAAUAACCCUUUCAGUGUAAAAAUUUUUCCUAAUAUCCAAUCUAAACCUCCCCUGGCACAACUUGAGGCCGUUUCCUCUUGUCCUAUCGCCUGUUACUUGGGAGAAGAGACCGACCCCCAUCUCUCUACAACGUCCUUUCAGAAAAAUAAAUGACAGCUUCCUGUGCUUGCAUUGCCACUGGAGCAGGGGUGGGUAUUAAAUCCCGGUCUUCAGCCUAAGGCAGCAACCUAAACCAGGGAGCAGCACAGCCCAGGCAUCCGUGGGCGACUUCUGGAGUUGCAGGAGCUUCAUAGAAGAUCCCAAAGGAAAGAUCCUUGUUGAGACACCUUGCUGUGUCAGUCUCAAACCAGGCACACAAAAACCCCAUGGCCAGUGUAGGGCUCGUCAGCCCUUUGUCUAGUCAAGAUCCAGCUGCUGUUGAGGGAUGCUGAUGUGUUUGUGCUGUGGUGCUGGUCCCCAGCUGUCCUCCAGCGCCAAGGGGGGGAAGGUAAUUCCUGCUGAGCACAGCGGUGAGACUUACUACUUGAGUCUUCAAGUGAGAACUUGAUGGUCGAGGCUCCCACCAAAACUGAUCUUCUCUCCUUCCCCUCUUCCAAAGCCAGCGGUUUCAUGUCUUAGAUGCCACCAGCAGCUCCCCAGGCACUUGGCUGAUGGUUUGCUCCCUGACCCAUCUGAAGUGCAAAGGAAUUUAAAAUUUCCAGAUUGUUUUUUUCUUCUUUAAAAAAAAAAGUUUAUGAUUUCUAAGAAGGCGCCUUACAGCAGAGCCCAAACAGGAAUGUUUGCGUUCGAUACCAUCCAUCCAUCAACGCCGCGACACGGAGGGAGCGGCUGCCCCGGCUCCUCGCGUGGCGGUGGACAGAAGGAGCUGUCAGGGAGCCACGUGUGGCCGCCGCACCGAGCCGGGCGGGAGCCGUGCUGGCAGAGAUCCCUCCCGCAGAGGGGAUUUCUGCGCUGACAAUUUUUGGCUCCUUUAGGUUACUUUAGAGCUGCACGGAAUAUGUAAUGUUCUGCACCCGCGGAGGGGCUGACAGGGAACUUAAAUACAGAUUGCAAAGAUAGAUCAUCUCCCAGCAUCACUUUGUUUUCUGCUGCUCUAAAAUCAUUUUACUUGUUCCUGCAGCUCCUAUAAAGCCAGAAGAGCUCUCUAUAUUUGCUUCCCGGAUGCCUUUUUCUCCUCUGCUAACAACUAGAAAAGCAGCUUUUCAUGCUCCAAAUCAGAGAUAAAUUAAAAUCGCUGCUGAAGAAAUAAAACACAAGGCUAAUCAAAUUGUAGCACAGGAAGCAGUCUUCAUCCAGUGCAUUUUUUGAGAGCUAUUUUUAGAAUAUAUUUUUAUUUUGUCACUCCAUAUGGGAAGUCAAAUCCAUAUGGUUUGGGAGAAUGGAAGGUUGUGCUUUUAUAGGGAUCUCACAAACCAUCCCUGCUCUGCCACGUACUUAAAUGUGUGCUUAAAUCCAAUUGUCUGCGAUGGGACUGGGGCACGUGAACUCCUCGUGACUGGGGCCUCGGGCCCUGUCUGAGGUUGUAAGAGUAUUACUCCCUCCUGAGAUGUAAAACUAUUCUAUAUUCGUUAAAUUGGUCUCCAGUUAACUUGGAUCUUCUUAAUUACGACUUUUCUUA